GAUGAAGAACGUAGUGAAAUGCGAUAAGUAAUGUGAAUUGCAGAAUUCAGUGAAUCAUCGAAUCUUUGAACGCACAUUGCGCCCUCUGGUAUUCCGGGGGGCAUGCCUGUUCGAGCGUCAUUAUAACCACUCAAGCUCUCGCUUGGUAUUGGGGUUCGCGGUUCCGCGGCCCCUAAAAUCAGUGGCGGUGCCUGUCGGCUCUACGCGUAGUAAUACUCCUCGCGAUUGAGUCCGGUAGGUCUACUUGCCAGCAACCCCCAAUUUUUACAGGUUGACCUCGGAUCAGGUAGGGAUACCCGCUGAACUUAAGCAUAUCAAUAAGCGGAGG
Molecule: unclassified non-coding RNA, 328 nt
Filed under: soil metagenome
Description: partial contains 5.8S ribosomal RNA, internal transcribed spacer 2, and large subunit ribosomal RNA
Rfam family: 5.8S ribosomal RNA (bases 1-120)
Source: RNAcentral